GAUGAACGCUGGCGGUAUGCCUAACACAUGCAAGUCGUACGAGAGUUUUUUAACUCUAGUGGCGGACGGGUGAGUAACACGUGAGAAUUUGCCUUUAGGAGGGGGACAACAAUUGGAAACGAAUGCUAAUACCCCAUAUGCUUUCGAGUGAAAUGGAUUUUAUCCGCCUAGAGAGAAGCUCGCGGCUGAUUAGCUUGUUGGUAAGGUAAGAGCUUACCAAGGCGACGAUCAGUAUCUGGUUUGAGAGGACGAUCAGACACACUGGAACUGAGACACGGUCCAGACUCCUACGGGAGGCAGCAGUGGGGAAUUUUCCGCAAUGGGCGAAAGCCUGACGGAGCAAUACCGCGUGAGGGAAGAAUGCCUAUGGGUUGUAAACCUCUUUUUCAGGGAGGAAUAAAAUGACGUGUACCUGAAGAAUAAGCAUCGGCUAACUCCGUG
Molecule: ribosomal RNA, 441 nt
Filed under: uncultured bacterium
Lineage: Bacteria
Description: bacterial SSU rRNA
Rfam family: Bacterial small subunit ribosomal RNA
Source: RNAcentral